Molecule: ribosomal RNA, 461 nt
Filed under: Lymantria hauensteini
Lineage: Eukaryota; Metazoa; Arthropoda; Insecta; Lepidoptera; Erebidae
Description: partial large subunit ribosomal RNA
Source: RNAcentral
UGCCCACUGAUUUAAAUAUUAAAGGGCUGCAGUAUUUUGACUGUACAAAGGUAGCAUAAUCAUUAGUCAUUUAAUUGAUGACUUGUAUGAAAGAUUGGAUGAGAUAUAAACUGUCUUUUUUGUAAAUUUUAAAAUUUAAUUUUUAAGUUAAAAAGCUUAAAUAAUUUAAAAAGACGAGAAGACCCUAUAGAGUUUUAUUUUUGGUUUAUAUUGAAAUUUUUAUAAGUUUAUUAGUUUAAUUUAGAUUAAUAAUUUUGUUGGGGUGAUAGAAAAAUUUGAUUAACUUUUUUUUUAUAAUAUACAUAGAUAAAUGGUUAAAUGAUCCAAUAUUAUUGAUUAUAAGAAAAAAUUACCUUAGGGAUAACAGCGUAAUUUUAUUUUUUAGUUCAAAUAAGAAAUAAAGUUUGCGACCUCGAUGUUGGAUUAAGAUAAAAUUUAAAUGCAGAAGUUUAAAAUUUUGA